Molecule: long non-coding RNA, 1483 nt
Filed under: Homo sapiens (human)
Lineage: Eukaryota; Metazoa; Chordata; Mammalia; Primates; Hominidae
Description: HSALNT0293555
Source: RNAcentral
ACUGACUUGCCCAAGGUCAUAAAGUUAGUAAGAGCUAGAGCUAGGUUCUAUGGAAGUCACUAUUUGCUACCACCCAGAUCCCCCUUCAGGAUUGAAGCCUUACUCCUCCAGCUGCUGAGAGUACCAUUGGCUGACAGCCCUCAGCUGUCUCCCUCUCUGCUCAUUGCCCUCUAUGUAAGUGAGCCUCUUCACUCAAGGUUUUGCAGGCUUAGAGGUCUUGGCUUCCAAAGGGAGAAAGCUUCCACCAGGGGACACAGAAGGGUCCCAUUGAACUCUAAGCUAUGGUUACUGGUGGGGCACUUCAGAUUCCAUGUGCUGAGGAACCACCCUCUUAGCAGCACUAUUUGAUCCUGAUCAAGAAGAGGAGGGCUACUCUUACACAAUGGAAGCAGGAAGACCUAUUUUUACCACCCAGGCCUUGGAAAGUGUUCCAGGAAUGGACUUUCUGCAGUAUGAUGACCUGCAAAAGCAGCCCUUCCAUUUACAUUUCAAACUCCAAGUCAGCCGUGUCAAAGUUUGAACCAGAACUGUGGAGGAUAAUGGGUCAGAUGCAAUUAGCAGCCCAGAGAACCACACGUUGCAGUCUGAUUUAUUUUUUUGCCCAUCAGAUUCCAAGAAUCCUAGUGCUUAAAAGCAACUAAACAAUCGCUCUAUUGUACUGAAAUAAAGCCCGGUUAAUUCAGAAAUCAAUUGCACCACCAGGUGGGGCACACUCUGGCCCCAAACAGAUGGGGUUGAAAACUCCCCUCAAAAUGCAGUCUUGUUAAAUUAAAAACUUGAUCCAGGAGUGGAACAAAUAGGGAGCCAUGAAUGGAAUGGAGUCAGGUCCACUCAGGCGGAUUCUUUCUUCUCCCACUCCUUUUCCUUUAAAAAAGAAAAAUUCCCCAUUUCACUUUCAUCAGUGUUAGCAUCUAUGCAGAAACGCAGCCAUCCACCCUUUGCAGUUGAAUGUGUUACUUUAAUUAGUCUGAAAAUUAAAGGGCAACUCCGGGCCAAUGUGAAUGAUUAUGAAAAUACAUGUGCAUCCCAUGCAAUCUUCUCAUUUAAUUAAUAGUCUUGUAAACUAUAUGGCUCACUUUAAGUCAGUCAAGAGGUAUAACAACUCCAUUUUAAAUAUCCACUUAAUACUUAACAGGAUGUGAGGAACACACUAUAGCAUACGGUCCCUUCUCAAGUUUCACUGUCUGAAAUUUUUCAAAGCUGACCCAAGUCAACCUGAAAAAUGUUUAACACCCUGGGCUUGAACACAAGAAACUCUGUGAUGAACAGACAUUCAAUUACAUUUUUUAAAAGUGAGAAGCAUUUUUGUAAAAUAGCGACUCUGGAAACUAAUUGGCAGCCGCAAAACUUGUGAGCAAAGGCCAAAUCUUGUGGGGAACUUUUACUACAGUAACACGACUCAAAGAAAAUGUGAAUAAAAGGCAUCUUUGUUUCCCAGUCAAAUUAGCUGAUUAAGAAAUAAAACAUCUUAACAUGUUUUUAA